UACGAAGGGGGCUAGCGUUGCUCGGAAUGACUGGGCGUAAAGGGCGCGUAGGCGGAUGGCACAGUCAGAUGUGAAAUUCCCGGGCUUAACCUGGGGGCUGCAUUUGAUACGUGUUGUCUUGAGUUCGGAAGAGGGUCGUGGAAUUCCCAGUGUAGAGGUGAAAUUCGUAGAUAUUGGGAAGAACACCGGUGGCGAAGGCGGCGACCUGGUCCGACACUGACGCUGAGGCGCGAAAGCUAGGGGAGCAAACGGG
RNAcentral lists this ribosomal RNA (253 nucleotides) under uncultured bacterium. Its description in RNAcentral is "partial 16S ribosomal RNA". It matches the Rfam family "Bacterial small subunit ribosomal RNA", at positions 524 to 776 of the family's 1533-position model. The record is from RNAcentral.